AUUCAGGGUUUAGAGGAAGCGGUUGGUGCGCUGCAGGAGGCGGCGGCUCCUCCGAGGACUCUCGCUCCACUUCUGCCUUCGGGGCUCGUUAGUCGGCGGCUCCCGGGAGGCUGCCGGGGACGUGUUUGCGGAGGCAGGAGAUAUAGCACUCAAGCUCAUAUUUCAAAGAGAAGAAUUUACAUCACAUUUGGUUACCAUUCACUUCUUCAUUGCAGAUCCCUGCCUGUCUUGAGCACAAAGACCACGGAAGAGAGACUCUCACAUCCUUUAGUGAGAAGAAAGGAAUCAGCAGAGCAUAUUUAAACGGACUUGUGCCUGGUGGCCCUUUGCACACAAGCCUGCCUUUAAAGGAAGGGAGGAGAGAAACACAGUAGCAUUUAAUGAACUCUGUGAGAUGAGGCACUGCUAACGCCAGAUUCCAAAGAUUCAUCCACUAUUCCUUGUGCUUAAUGUAUAUGUUUCUACAAAGUCCGUUCAGAAGAGCCCAGAAAAGAAUCCAAAACGGCUG
RNAcentral lists this long non-coding RNA (508 nucleotides) under Vombatus ursinus (common wombat). Its description in RNAcentral is "lncRNA (ENSVURG00010020415.1)". The record is from RNAcentral. Lineage: Eukaryota; Metazoa; Chordata; Mammalia; Diprotodontia; Vombatidae.